GAUGAACGCUGGCGGCGCGCCUAACACAUGCAAGUCGAACGGCAUCCCUCCUCGGAGGGAAGCGAGUGGCGAACGGCUGAGUAACACGUGGAGAACCUGCCCCCUCCCCCGGGAUAGCCGCCCGAAAGGACGGGUAAUACCGGAUACCCCGGGGUGCCGCAUGGCACCCCGGCUAAAGCCCCGACGGGAGGGGAUGGCUCCGCGGCCCAUCAGGUAGACGGCGGGGUGACGGCCCACCGUGCCGACAACGGGUAGCCGGGUUGAGAGACCGACCGGCCAGAUUGGGACUGAGACACGGCCCAGACUCCUACGGGAGGCAGCAGUGGGGAAUCUUGCGCAAUGGGGGGAACCCUGACGCAGCGACGCCGCGUGCGGGACGGAGGCCUUCGGGUCGUAAACCGCUUUCAGCAGGGAAGAGUCAAGACUGUACCUGCAGAAGAAGCCCCGGCUAACUACGUG
RNAcentral lists this ribosomal RNA (459 nucleotides) under uncultured bacterium. RNAcentral's name for it is "partial 16S ribosomal RNA". It matches the Rfam family "Bacterial small subunit ribosomal RNA", at positions 28 to 507 of the family's 1533-position model. The record is from RNAcentral.